GAUGAACGCUGGCGGCGUGCCUAAUACAUGCAAGUCGAGCGAACAGACGAGGAGCUUGCUCCUCUGACGUUAGCGGCGGACGGGUGAGUAACACGUGGAUAACCUACCUAUAAGACUGGGAUAACUUCGGGAAACCGGAGCUAAUACCGGAUAAUAUAUUGAACCGCAUGGUUCAAUAGUGAAAGACGGUUUUGCUGUCACUUAUAGAUGGAUCCGCGCCGCAUUAGCUAGUUGGUAAGGUAACGGCUUACCAAGGCAACGAUGCGUAGCCGACCUGAGAGGGUGAUCGGCCACACAGGAACUGAGACACGGUCCAGACUCCUACGGGAGGCAGCAGUAGGGAAUCUUCCGCAAUGGGCGAAAGCCUGACGGAGCAACGCCGCGUGAGUGAUGAAGGUCUUCGGAUCGUAAAACUCUGUUAUUAGGGAAGAACAAAUGUGUAAGUAACGAUGCACGUCUUGACGGUACCUAAUCAGAAAGCCACGGCUAACUACGU
This 496-nucleotide ribosomal RNA is filed under the name uncultured bacterium. Its description in RNAcentral is "partial 16S ribosomal RNA". It matches the Rfam family "Bacterial small subunit ribosomal RNA", at positions 28 to 506 of the family's 1533-position model. The record is from RNAcentral.